CCUGAAGGGGGCGCUGGAGGAGUACAUGAUGCGUUUGCCGAAGGUUCGCAUCCUGAGGACUAAGAAGAGGGAGGGGCUUAUCAGGACUCGCCUGCUGGGAGCCGGAGCUGCCAAAGGAGAAGUCAUCACCUUCCUGGACUCUCACUGCGAGGCCAACGUCAACUGGCUGCCUCCACUGCUCGACCGGAUCGCCGACAACAGGAAGACCAUCGUGUGUCGAUGAUCGACGUGAUCGACCACGACAACUUCGGCUAUGAGACCCAAGCCGGGGACGCCAUGAGGGAGCGUUUGACUGGGAGAUGUACUACAAACGGAUCCCUAUCCCCACAGAGCUGCAGAAGGACGACCCCAGUGAACCUUUCGAUUCACCGGUGAUGGCAGGCGGACUGUUUGCCGUGGACAGGAAGUGGUUCUGGGAGCUGGGAGGAUAUGACACGGGUCUGGAGAUCUGGGGAGGAGAGCAG
Non-coding RNA from Labrus bergylta (ballan wrasse), 464 nucleotides. The record is from RefSeq and is a predicted model, not a curated record. NCBI's taxonomy places the organism in Eukaryota, Metazoa, Chordata, Actinopteri, Labriformes, Labridae.